AGAGCGGCGACUCGCGGGCCGUUUUUUUUGUGCGAAUGAGGCGAGACUUCUUCGGGGCAGAGGCGGAGGAGCCGGCGCCGAGGUUGGCGGUGGUGGUGAGCUGCUGGCGCUCGCGGUGGCGGGCGACGGGGAGAGGGCGGCACCGGGCUUGAGGGAAAUAAGGCCAAGUUGGGAGAGAAAGAGAGGAUAACUUAAGGAAAUAGUUUAAUAAGGUAGGGGCAAAAUAGGUAUUUUAAUUAGGUUUUAACUCUGGUAUACAUUUAACCCAUGUUUAACUCGAGUUAGUUUAACAAUGGAUAACUGCGGGGGUAUUUUGGAAUAACGGUGGAACAUAUGAGGGGUAUUUUUAGAAAGAAAAAAAAAUAGGGGUAAAUCGGAUAUUUUCAAACGUAUGAGGGGUAUAUAGGCAAUUAUCCCUCUUUAUUAUAGGUGAAAACUUUACAAUGAACAUACAUAUACAUCUGUAAAUAGGUAUAGGAACAAAGUAGCAACACAAGUUUGGGUGUGCAAUAGGGUCUUCAAGUGGUUGCUAUUGGAAGGAGAUUUGUCUAUAAGCGGAUUGGGUAAAAGACUGCAAUAAAAAUAUCAUGUGGACUUGACCUAUUUCAAGGUCUUUGGGGAAAAAAUUGCAAUGUCUGAAAUUCAUGGUGAGUGGGAGGAGUCGUAUAAAAGGUUUUUAUUUCAAGAAAGAAAUUGUUCAGAAAAAUUAUAAUAGUCAUGUGGAGGUAAAGUUGCAAGUUAUUAAUCGAGAAUAUCUUUGCAACGACUUUUAUUGCUUUUAGUGAUUGCAUACAAGGAUUCCAUAUUGGAUUUAGAUGUUAUGUUGCAUUAAAUGGAUGUCAUCUCAAAAGAAUGUAUAGAGGACUGCAUAUAG
Molecule: long non-coding RNA, 874 nt
Filed under: Ananas comosus (pineapple)
Lineage: Eukaryota; Viridiplantae; Streptophyta; Magnoliopsida; Poales; Bromeliaceae
Description: long non-coding RNA (ACOM_LNC011818)
Source: RNAcentral